RNAcentral lists this ribosomal RNA (210 nucleotides) under uncultured bacterium. Its description in RNAcentral is "partial 16S ribosomal RNA". It matches the Rfam family "Bacterial small subunit ribosomal RNA", at positions 524 to 732 of the family's 1533-position model. The record is from RNAcentral.
UACGAAGGGGGCUAGCGUUAUUCGGAAUCACUGGGCGUAAAGCGCACGUAGGCGGAUUGUUAAGUCGGGGGUGAAAUCCUGAGGCUCAACCUCAGAACUGCCUUCGAUACUGGCAAUCGUCGAGUCCGGAAGAGGUUGGUGGAACAGCUAGUGUAGAGGUGAAAUUCGUAGAUAUUAGCUAGAACACCAGUGGCGAAGGCGGCCAACUGG